AUGCUGGAGGUAUCAGAAGUGCGAAUGCUGACAUAAGUAACGAUAAAGCGGGUGAAAAGCCCGCUCGCCGGAAGACCAAGGGUUCCUGUCCAACGUUAAUCGGGGCAGGGUGAGUCGACCCCUAAGGCGAGGCCGAAAGGCGUAGUCGAUGGGAAACAGGUUAAUAUUCCUGUACUUGGUGUUACUGCGAAGGGGGGACGGAGAAGGCUAUGUUGGCCGGGCGACGGUUGUCCCGGUUUAAGCGUGUAGGCUGGUUUUCCAGGCAAAUCCGGAAAAUCAAGGCUGAGGCGUGAUGACGAGGCACUACGGUGCUGAAGCAACAAAUGCCCUGCUUCCAGGAAAAGCCUCUAAGCAUCAGGUAACAUCAAAUCGUACCCCAAACCGACACAGGUGGUCAGGUAGAGAAUACCAAGGCGCUUGAGAGAACUCGGGUGAAGGAACUAGGCAAAAUGGUGCCGUAACUUCGGGAGAAGGCACGCUGAUAUGUAGGUGAAGUCCCUCGCGGAUGGAGCUGAAAUCAGUCGAAGAUACCAGCUGGCUGCAACUGUUUAUUAAAAACACAGCACUGUGCAAACACGAAAGUGGACGUAUACGGUGUGACGCCUGCCCGGUGCCGGAAGGUUAAUUGAUGGGGUUAGCCGCAAGGCGAAGCUCUUGAUCGAAGCCCCGGUAAACGGCGGCCGUAACUAUAACGGUCCUAAGGUAGCGAAAUUCCUUGUCGGGUAAGUUCCGACCUGCACGAAUGGCGUAAUGAUGGCCAGGCUGUCUCCACCCGAGACUCAGUGAAAUUGAACUCGCUGUGAAGAUGCAGUGUACCCGCGGCAAGACGGAAAGACCCCGUGAACCUUUACUAUAGCUUGACACUGAACAUUGAGCCUUGAUGUGUAGGAUAGGUGGGAGGCUUUGAAGUGUGGACGCCAGUCUGCAUGGAGCCGACCUUGAAAUACCACCCUUUAAUGUUUGAUGUUCUAACGUUGACCCGUAAUCCGGGUUGCGGACAGUGUCUGGUGGGUAGUUUGACUGGGGCGGUCUCCUCCUAAAGAGUAACGGAGGAGCACGAAGGUUGGCUAAUCCUGGUCGGACAUCAGGAGGUUAGUGCAAUGGCAUAAGCCAGCUUGACUGCGAGCGUGACGGCGCGAGCAGGUGCGAAAGCAGGUCAUAGUGAUCCGGUGGUUCUGAAUGGAAGGGCCAUCGCUCAACGGAUAAAAGGUACUCCGGGGAUAACAGGCUGAUACCGCCCAAGAGUUCAUAUCGACGGCGGUGUUUGGCACCUCGAUGUCGGCUCAUCACAUCCUGGGGCUGAAGUAGGUCCCAAGGGUAUGGCUGUUCGCCAUUUAAAGUGGUACGCGAGCUGGGUUUAGAACGUCGUGAGACAGUUCGGUCCCUAUCUGCCGUGGGCGCUGGAGAACUGAGGGGGGCUGCUCCUAGUACGAGAGGACCGGAGUGGACGCAUCACUGGUGUUCGGGUUGUCAUGCCAAUGGCACUGCCCGGUAGCUAAAUGCGGAAGAGAUAAGUGCUGAAAGCAUCUAAGCACGAAACUUGCCCCGAGAUGAGUUCUCCCUGACUCCUUGAGAGUCCUGAAGGAACGUUGAAGACGACGACGUUGAUAGGCCGGGUGUGUAAGCGCAGCGAUGCGUUGAGCUAACCGGUACUAAUGAACCGUGAGGCUUAACCUUACAACGCCGAAG
Molecule: ribosomal RNA, 1689 nt
Filed under: Escherichia coli
Lineage: Bacteria; Pseudomonadati; Pseudomonadota; Gammaproteobacteria; Enterobacterales; Enterobacteriaceae
Description: bacterial LSU rRNA
Rfam family: Bacterial large subunit ribosomal RNA
Source: RNAcentral